Molecule: ribosomal RNA, 467 nt
Filed under: uncultured bacterium
Lineage: Bacteria
Description: partial 16S ribosomal RNA
Rfam family: Bacterial small subunit ribosomal RNA
Source: RNAcentral
GAUGAACGCUGGCGGCGUGCUUAACACAUGCAAGUCGAACGGAAAGGCCCAAGCUUGCUUGGGUACUCGAGUGGCGAACGGGUGAGUAACACGUGGGUGAUCUGCCCUGCACUUCGGGAUAAGCCUGGGAAACUGGGUCUAAUACCGGAUAGGACCACAUUUUGGAUGGUGUGGUGGAAAGUUUUUCGGUGUGGGAUGAGCUCGCGGCCUAUCAGCUUGUUGGUGGGGUAAUGGCCUACCAAGGCGUCGACGGGUAGCCGGCCUGAGAGGGUGGACGGCCACAUUAGAACUGAGAUACGGCCCGGACUCCUACGGGAGGCAGCAGUGGGGAAUAUUUCACAAUGGACGCAAGCCUGAUGCAGCGACGCCGCGUGGGGGAUGACGGCCUUCGGGUUGUAAACUCCUAUCGCUAAGUACGAAUCGUUUUUGUGACGGUACCUGGAGAAGAAGCACCGGCUAACUACGUG